GCAACCGAAAGCGCUCCUCCCGCCUGUUCUGUGCAGGAGACAGCCUGCGGAGCCCACAGGCGCGCCGAGAGCCCAGCAGCUCUUGAGUCCGGGAAGCAAGGGUGGGCGGAGGGAGGAGUCAGUGGCAAGGACCCAGACCUGGACGACCCCCAGUGCCGAGCCAGCGGAGCUGCUUGGAUCCAAAGUCCACAAAUAUCAUAAAUCUGAAGAGGACCUGGGAGAAGCUUCUGCUGGCAGCUCAUGCCGUUGUUGCCAUUGAAAACCCUGCUGAUGUGUCAUAUCCUGCAGGAAUACUGGCUAGUGGGCUGUGCUGAAGUUUGCUGCUGCCAUUGGAGCCACAGAUUCUCCUCUGAGCCAUGCGGACAUUGUCAUCCCAUGCAACAACAAGGAAGCUCAAUCACUGAGUCUAAUGUAGUGGAUGCUGGCCCAGGAAGCUCUGUGCAUGUGUUGCACCAUCUCCCAUGAUCAUGCCUGAUCUCUACUUCUAUAGAGAUCCUGAAGAGAUAGAAAAGGAAGAGUAGGCUGCAGCUGAAAAAGGAGGAAUUUCAAAGUGAAUGGACUGCUCCAGUGGAAGUUUACUGCUACUCAGUCUGAGGUUGCAGACUGGUUUAAAGGCAUGCAGGUGCCCUCUGCGCCUAUUCAGCAGUUCCCUACUGAAGACUGGAGCACUCAGCCUACCAUGAAUGACCGGUCCGCAACUCCCACUGCUCAGACCACUGAAUGGGGUCCAGGAGGCUGGUUUCAGACCUAUUGGGAGUCCCUCUGCAUUAGUGAGAAAAACGGCAAGAAAUGAGAGCACGCAGAAACCUACAAGACUAGAGCCACUGGAUGCCACCGACAGCACGCAGCUGGACCAGCACGGGGAAGGGCCUUCGUGGGUGGAGAGCUCGCUUGGGACAUAGUUGGAGAUUUUCUUUCAGAAGAAUCCCUGGCGGAGUCUGACCGGUUCUUUUGCGCACAGCCCCUGGGGUGGGCACAGCAGCCGCCCCUGCUGAAGGGACUGACGCCUCCGACCAGCAGCCCAGUUAAACGCGCUGUUCCGUGAGCAGCUAGCUGUGUUGGGGAGAGCGUGGUUCACAUUCUUUUCCAACGGAGCCACUGACUGCUGAGCUGGGAGGGUGAAGGGGUGGCCUGCCCCUCCACACCUGUGGACGUUUCUCGUUAGGUGGAACCAGAGACUUGAGAAAAGAAAUGAGACACAGCGAUCAAGUAUACAGAAAGAAACAGUGGGCCCAGAGGACCGGCACUCAGCAUACAGAGGACCCAAGCCGCACCGGUCUCUGAGUUCCCCCAGUAUCUAUGAUCAUUAUCUUUACCAUCUGGGAAAAGGGGAAG
This is a long non-coding RNA of Piliocolobus tephrosceles (Ugandan red Colobus), 1335 nucleotides long. RefSeq lists it as uncharacterized. The transcript has 4 exons. The record is from RefSeq and is a predicted model, not a curated record. Lineage: Eukaryota; Metazoa; Chordata; Mammalia; Primates; Cercopithecidae.